Molecule: ribosomal RNA, 253 nt
Filed under: uncultured bacterium
Lineage: Bacteria
Description: partial 16S ribosomal RNA
Rfam family: Bacterial small subunit ribosomal RNA
Source: RNAcentral
UACGAAGGGGGCUAGCGUUGUUCGGAAUUACUGGGCGUAAAGCGCGCGCAGGCGGCUAUCCAAGUCAGUGGUGAAAGCCCGGAGCUCAACUCCGGAACUGCCAUUGAAACUGUUUAGCUUGAGGACGAGAGAGGUGAGUGGAAUUCCCAGUGUAGAGGUGAAAUUCGUAGAUAUUGGGAAGAACACCGGUGGCGAAGGCGGCUCUCUGGGCAGUAACUGACGCUGAGGAGCGAAAGCGUGGGGAGCGAACAGG